This 483-nucleotide ribosomal RNA is filed under the name uncultured bacterium. Its description in RNAcentral is "partial 16S ribosomal RNA". It matches the Rfam family "Bacterial small subunit ribosomal RNA", at positions 28 to 507 of the family's 1533-position model. The record is from RNAcentral.
GAUGAACGCUAGCGGCAGGCCUAAUACAUGCAAGCCGAACGGCAAGUUUGAUAGCAAUAUUGGACCUAGAGUGGCGCAAGGGUGCGUAACACGUAUGCAACCUGCCCUCGACAGGAGGAUAGCUCCCCGAAAGGGUAAUUAACCCUCCAUAACACCAUGAGAAGGCAUCUGUUUAUGGUUAAACCGCACGGAGUCGCUGAUGGGCAUAUGGUUGAUUAGCUAGUUGGCGGGGUAAAGGCCCACCAAGGCGGUGAUCAAUAGGGGUUCUGUGAGGAAGGUCCCACACACGGGAACGGAGAUACGGGCCAGACUACGACGGGAGGAAGGAGUAGGGAAUAAUGGACAAGGGUUGCAAGACUGAACCAGCCAUGCCGCGUGCAGGAAGAAGGACUUCUGGGUCGUAAACUGAUUUUGCCUGUGGAUAAAAUACCCGUGCGCGGGGAAUUGAAGGUAACAGGGGAAUAAGCCACGGCUAACUACGUG